Molecule: non-coding RNA, 636 nt
Organism: Taeniopygia guttata (zebra finch)
Lineage: Eukaryota; Metazoa; Chordata; Aves; Passeriformes; Estrildidae
Source: RefSeq, a predicted model, not a curated record
UCCCAGGCUGCUCCAAGCCCUGUCCAACCUGUCCUGGGACAAUUCCAGGGGCAGCCACAGCUUCUCUGGGAUAUAGUUCUGUACAUAUGGAUCACCACGGCACGUCAGGAUCCACCCAGGCAGCGAGCUGAAAGCAGGGAAUUCACUUGCUCUUUAAAUGCAGACGACGUUAUUAAAGCCAAAACGACUAAAAAUGACUAAAAGCAGGAGAAGAGAGGCAUUAAAAUGGAAACGAAUCUCCGCCAGCGCUUUGAUACGAGGAUAAAAGCGGGAUUUUGAUUGCGGCUCUCCCAGCGGUAUCCGCCACCAACACGGAAACCUCUGGGGCCCGGAGCCUUUGGAAGUGCUCCUGGCACACGGGGAAUGUGUGGAUUCAGGCCAGGGAGAGGCUGGGCCUUUGUGUUUAUUCAGGAAAUUAAUGAGGCUGUUGGAGAGGAUGAUGAGGCCCUGGUUGCCCAGAGCAGCUGUGGCUGCCCCUGGAUCCCUGGAAGUGUCUGUGGCCAGACUGAAUAUAAAAAUACAGAUAAAAACCAAGAAACAGUAGAAGAACCAAGAAACAAGAAGGAAAUUCAGCACUGAAGAUGAGAAAGCAGAAAAAGCUUCAAUAAAAAGGUUUCCUCUUUCCAGUAAUAUAAA